CUCAUUCAGGCAUUUCACCAAAUACAUCACAGGCAUGAAUAGACAAGCACAAAGAUACCAGAUUUACGUGGUUCGGCAGCAAGUGCCUACAUCCACGGGGAGGAGGAGCAAUCCACUAUGUCAAUCUUCCCAAUAGGGUACAAAUAAAGAUACAUAAAAGUCCAAAAUAUGGACUGCCAAAUGAUCACAAUAGGAGGCAAAAAUAAACCAAAUAUAAGGCAAAACAACCUGAACGGAUCAACCCUUCUGCAGCCACAAUGAUAGAUCAAAAGUGUAGUAUGCAAAUCAACCUUUCUAUGGCUCUAAUGGUAGAUCAAAUAAAUAUCAAAAACAUACCUUCCCUUGUUGCAUAUACUGUGAACAGCAAAGAAGAAAGAGGCUCACGGAAACAAGAAAGUCACAGGAAGAAGCCACAGUUGAAGAAGGGAAGAAGGUAGAAAGCCUCCAGCGAGUGGUAGACAAAGGGAAAGAAAAACCCAAGCCUGUUGUUGCAGGGAGACCGAGAGCGCACGGGAGGAUGAAGAGGAUGGUGUGUGGCGGCUGCUUCCUUUCACCCUAAAAAACAAAACAAAAC
RNAcentral lists this long non-coding RNA (574 nucleotides) under Phoenix dactylifera (date palm). RNAcentral's name for it is "long non-coding RNA (PDAC_LNC000951)". Lineage: Eukaryota; Viridiplantae; Streptophyta; Magnoliopsida; Arecales; Arecaceae. The record is from RNAcentral.